UGUAAAAGUUCAAAGUUUUGGGAUUACAUUACCAUGUUGUGUUGUAUUUAAAUGGUAAAGUUAUUUAAAACGCACUGAUUGUCCCAAAGUGCUUGCCGUACUUUCUCAGCACAUGCGCUGUAAGACCGGGGACAUGUGUCAUUUGAAUCCUGUGACUGUGAGAUGACAGAACCGCAUUUUUUCCCUUUCCUGUGCCAUCCUGCGAUGUUAUGGUUUUGAAUGUGGAGAUGCAAACAGUGUACUGAGACUCAAUCUACAAGGUAAACGCAGAAUUCACCCGCAUCACCACCGUUCCGCUGCUGCCUACCUUCAUGUCUCAACUGGAUCGCCAUUCGUCUCAGUUGAUGAAGGUUUUCAAAAAGAAGGGGGGAACAGCAGGACGCAAUUUGGGCCUGAUCAUGGCAGCCAUGGACAAGGAUCCCACAGUUGAAACACGACGGGACUGUGUCCUUAAAGCGCUCUGCGUCUACUUGAAUGAAAGUUCCGAGAGCUUCAUAAAGGAAUAUUUGGUAA
Trematomus bernacchii (emerald rockcod) is the source of this 513-nucleotide long non-coding RNA. RefSeq lists it as uncharacterized. The record is from RefSeq and is a predicted model, not a curated record. The transcript is spliced from 4 exons. Lineage: Eukaryota; Metazoa; Chordata; Actinopteri; Perciformes; Nototheniidae.